GUUCGGGGGGCUCCCGGGGCCCGAGGGGGGUCGCCUUGUGCCUGGGGCUCUCCCCGGUGCGGUGCCCCGGGAGGGACUUUGUAAAGUGGCCCGGGAACGGCGGGGGGUUGCCCAGGGAUGGGGGCAGGAGGGAGAGACCCCCCCCACGGUGCCCCCCAGCACCCCCCGGUGCCCCCCGUCCUGCAGCCGGGCUCGGAGGCCCCCACCCAUGGGCAGGCUCUCGCUCCGCGGCCAGGUGCGGAGCAUCCGCGCUUCCAAGCGGUUCGCAGCCGCCGUGCUGCCCCCUCGGCUGACAGGACACCCCGCUGGGUAGUGCCCUGGGGGUGGUUAGGGGCCUCUGGGCACAAGCUGCACGUGUGUUGAUUUAUAUUAAAAAAAAAAAAAAAAUUAUAAAUGGCCUGCUAGUUGUUUGGAGUUAUUGCAGUGCGUGUGACGGUACCUGCCUCUGCGUGUGCUGGUCCGGUCACCACAAGCCACGGAGCAAGCAGGGCUGCUACAGCAGAGGUGAAAAUAAACACCCUGUGCCUGCAAAGCACCGACCCAAAGCCGGCAGAGAUAAGGCCAUUGUCGGCACAGGCAGAACCUGUCUAGGCCAAUUGAAGAGACACCGUCAAAAUUACUUGCCUUGCCCAUCAAAUUUACAUGCCACAGCAAUGACUUUCAGUCAGUGUUCAUGCAGAGCUACAUUGAACUAGUGUCAGAAAUUACAUUCCUGGGUCUACCAUGAAUGUUUACAAGUGAAACCAAAUUUCUAGCAUAGCUCAAGGUGUGGUAACGCAGGGCUAAGUUUAUAGGCCUACAUUUUACAUCAUGACUCAGUUGUUUUGAACGACAUUUUGAGGCACACAAAGGGGCCUAUUUUCCUCAUUAUGCCGAGUGGUAUAAGGAUCUUGUCCUCUAAAAAUCAGACCCCUUUUAACUUUGAAUUGAUUUAUCAUGAUUUUAAUUGCUUGGGGUUUCAACCAGAAAAGAAGAGCGAGUCUAGGGAGUUACACGGGAUGAGGAGACAAGGCCCAGAAAACCAUCACAAGAGCUACGCAGGGCUUUUAUAGGAUCCCCUCUUCACCACCUGAACAUGCCAACCACAUCCAUCAGAACCUCUCAGCUUUGCAGGAAAGGUUUAGGUAGAACUUCUGUUGAUUUUGAUAACCUUUAGUAUUAUGGGACAGUCAAGCAAAAAUUGUUUUCUUGCCUCCGCACACUAGAAAGGCAUGCAACUGCAACCUGGAGUGCCUUGUUCCUGCUUUAUGAGCUACCAAACCCAUAUGUUCUGUGAAAAAUCACAUCCUCGUUGCCUUUCUUCAAGUUCCACAAGCAUCUCCAUGAAAGCAGUCCUAUUUCCAAAGUACCGCCUGAGAUUCUAGCAUCCAGCACAUCUCCACUGCAGCCACUGGGGAAAAGAAACCAUCCUAAAACUGCGGGGAUUUCGGUGGCCACAACAAAGGGUGGCUGGGCUGCACGAGGGUGUAGCCAGACGCUGCUCCACAGACACGGUCUGAGCAGCGUGAGGCUGCUCCACUGUCCCUUGCUGCUCUCCGCUCCAGCAGCAGAGCGGCGCCACCAGCACAAGUGUUUGUGUGAAGUUGGUGUGGUUGUCUGACGGCGUGCCGGAGGCUGCUGGAGCUGACACUGCCAAAACUGCAUGGAAACAAGUUAGGGGAGAGUUGGAUGCUCUGUUCUGGCAACUCAGACGUUGUAUAAUUCAUUUUGCAGGGAUUAGCAUAUAAAGAAACUAAUUGGUGAGGUUGUCCCGUUGUUCUGAGUUUUUCUGUAGACCCAGGAGCUGUGCAAGGAGGGUGCUUGGCUGGUCUCAUGCAGGGAGGAGCGAGUUGUGGAGCAAUGCUGAGAUGCCUUAACCUAACAUAAUUUGAUCACCGAGUUAACAUGUUCUAAGUUCUGAAGCAAGUUUUUAAUAAAUAUUUUUAAAAUGGUAGGAAAACAACAACAGCAACAACCACCCAGCAGCAUAAGCCCAAACAGCUGCCUGGAAAACACCCGCAUGGUGACAGCGGACUCUGCGGACAGGAUGCUCACAGCAGCCUAGCUGUAAGCCGAGCUCACACAGCGCUAGGAGCCGGGGGGCUACCACGCACAGAGAUCUGCUGCCAUCUUUGAGCUUCUGGAAGGGGAUGAGAUUUUUCUGGAGUAUUCAGGUGAUCCCGGAGCACAAGGCUCACAGCUGUGACAUUCUGAAUUACCUGGGCACUUCUGAGGAGCCUCCAUCUGCUCUUUGAUUACAACCAGUAAACACUCACAAUACUCAGCUCUCAGGUCCCUGGCCUGGUAAGGCACACAGAAAAGGCUCUGACUUGAUCACCAGCACAGAGGGAAGUUCUUUAUUACCAUUACCAUUUUUUGAGCUUUCCAGUUUUUCCUCAUUAUCAUUUUGUACUUCCUAUAGAUUUCCUCUACAGUGGUACAUACAAGGUCCCUCUCUGUAGCUUUCGACACAUUGUCCCUGGAGUUAUUUCACUGCUAGUGUAAAGAAGUAAACCACAUUAACUUUUUUCCCCUUCGACCAUAUCUGCUCAUUAAGUAAAUGUUUACAAAGAAGAUAUCUAUGAAACCAACCUUGAAACAACAGGGAUCACUGAGCUUCAGCAAGAGAGGAGCUUGUUGGUGACAGCGUACGUCCCUUCCAGUUUUCCUCAUCUGAUACCAGAUCUCCUUAUUACAUUAAUUGGUUAGAUCUCAAGAAACACUAUGCUGUCUUCUGAAAACAUACAGCUGAGUUAAGAAUCUGAACAGAGAACUUACACACACUGUCUCCCGUGAUUGUUCAGCCCUGCCAUGGGCAGAAGUGGAGGCCAAAUGAGAUAACAGUGGGAACCAACCUGCAGGUCUAGCAUGGGCACAAGCGGUCAUGCAGCACACAAAGCACCAGGGCUGUCCUGCGGGGAACUUUACAGUAAAUACACAGAGGCAGCAGUUCAAAUGCUGUAAUAAAACACCCAGGUAAACCCAAAUUCCAAACCAGGGGGAAUAAUGAGAUAUGCCGUUUGAAGCAAGGCAGUCAAGAAUGUAAACAGCAUCUGUAAUUUAAAAAUCAUUGAAAUUGUAAUAGGAGACUAGGUUAAAAGGGCCUUUCAUGUAGCAAAUUAGCUUAAAGAUCUAGCUAAAGAAUUUAUUUCGUAUUCAUAACAGUUAACGCAAAUUGCAUUAUCAGUCCAUACAUGUACCUUUCGACUCACUUUUCCUUUGCCUCCUAUUUCAGCACACAAGCUCAUGUUACACCGAACCUUGACACAAGGAAGCUACUUCAUUGGGCAUCAGCAUUGUACUGACAGUAAAACUGUGUCUUCAGCAUGGCUUACCAGAAUCUGCAGGAUUCAUAAAACCUGAACUUUGACCAUCAUCUCAGAUGUCAAUAAAAACUUACCAGCUUUUUUUGUACAAGG
Molecule: non-coding RNA, 3398 nt
Organism: Anas platyrhynchos (mallard)
Lineage: Eukaryota; Metazoa; Chordata; Aves; Anseriformes; Anatidae
Source: RefSeq, a predicted model, not a curated record